Aedes aegypti (yellow fever mosquito) is the source of this 1073-nucleotide long non-coding RNA. RefSeq lists it as uncharacterized. The record is from RefSeq and is a predicted model, not a curated record. The transcript is spliced from 2 exons. Lineage: Eukaryota; Metazoa; Arthropoda; Insecta; Diptera; Culicidae.
CACAAAGCUCACCAGUGCGGCAAAAGUUCGUUUAAAAUAAUCAGUUUUGAAACUGUUAUAACUAAACAUGGUUGAAUAUUUUGACAUAAAUUUUGUUCAUCAAAAUUUAGCCAGUUUGCAGGUUCAUCUGUUAUAGUUGUACUGUCAUUAUUGAUUAUUUCACUUAGGUCGAUCUUUUGCCCCACCUUAUCCUAUGCACUGAACACUGCAAUCGUAUCGAAAAGAAGUAUGGCAUAUUUUGGGAGAAUUAUUGAAUUACUUUAUAUGAGUCUCAAUAGCUUUGUAGUUUACUUUACUUCAAUGUAUUUUAUGUGAUGCAAAUACACGCAUAUCGCAAACACAAGACAAAAACUAUUUGUCUCUCCAUCGCAACGUAAAACUCAUCGUAAAAUUUCUUUUCAUCGAAAACAUCAUAACGCUAAGUUUUUGUUUCUUUCUCAUUUCUAUAAAGAUGCACAGGUGGAAAAAAGUAAACAAGUGAAUGCUGGAUUGUCAUCGAAUAAAAAAUUGAGAAGGAACCGCACAACAUUCUCUUCCGAUCAACUUUCGGCGUUGGAGCAAAUAUUUGAAAGAACACACUAUCCAGAUGCAUUUCUAAGGGAAGAAAUCGCCAGCAAAGUUGGGCUAAGCGAAGCCCGGGUACAGGUAUGGUUCCAGAACCGUCGUGCAAAAUUUCGACGAAAUGAGCGUAACAUCAACGUCGGUUCACAAUCGCUCUGUGCAAUAUCACCUGCUCUACAUUUUUCUAAAACACCCAAAAUAGUGAGGUCUCCACAUGCCGAGCAGAUAAAUUCAUCAACCACAUUUUCAGUGAACAAACAGGCCAUAUUUUCGACUCCCCAACGAUUCGGAAGUUUUCCGUACAGUGACAUGAUAUCUACGCAUGAAGCAAACACAUGCAAUUUCCACGCAACAAAUUAUUCGUCUACCGCCUUGUCAAAUUAUCAGUUCUCAACAUUCAAAUAUUAAUCCAUUUGGGUAUUGUUUUAUAUUUAUUCAUUAAAUAAUAUUGUCAUUAUUAUUUUAUUGAAACUUAUUUUUCCGGCGUCAUAAUAAACUAUGAAGUAUUGAGA